UCAAUCUUUAGGGUUGCAGAAUGGAGUAGAUGCAUUGAAGCCGUGCGUCCAAAACGCCUAGGUCUUCUAUUCUUAUGCAGAGGCUGGCUGGCCAUCUGUCGGGAAGGCUUUGAUGGUGCUUUUCCCGCCUGGAAGAAAGAAAAGGGUUGGGCUGGAUGUGCUUUGGGGGUCCCUUGUGAUAAUAAUAAUGCUUCUUUUCUUCCCAAGGGAUGGGGGACUGACCCGCAGGUUGAAGGUCAGUGCUCUUUGCCCGGCUUUUGUUUGGCUUUGGAUUCCGAUGGGGGCCAAAGGGGUCAGGCUCCACUGACCACUGCCCGGCCGGCCGGAGGGAAAGGUCAGCGGUCAAGAGGCCCCGGCAGGGAAAAAAGAACCUUCCUCCCUUCCGUCCAUUCAGACACCUCUCCGGCAAGAGCAAAAGCCAUAUUGUUCCAAAACGGAGGAGGCGUGGCCUGGGCUUGUGGGCGGGGCCUGGAGUGUUUACAGCGCGAAGGGGGCGUGGCCUUGGCGGCGUCUCGUCGGCGGAAGAGGCGUGUCCCGAAGAAGUCUCCUCUUCCUUGUGUCCGGAGCGGAAGAGGCGUGCCGGGGUGCGCAGUGGGCGGGGCGUGCUGGGCGGAGGCGGGUCCUGCCGCCCUCCGCGGCCUAUCCUGUGAGAGCGUGAGCCGCGGAAGGGGCGUGGCGUGCCGUGAGUGGGCGUGUCCUGCGGGCGAAGUUUCUCCCUGACUUCCAGUGUGCGUCCGGCCGCCGAGGAGCGCGGAGCUCUCCCUCAGGGAAGGAAGGAAGGAAGGAAGGAGCGCGGGAUGGCGCUCUCGGGGGCCUGGGCGGCGGCCAACGGCGAGGCAACGGCGGGUACCGCUCGGCGCCGCGUCGGAGGAGGACGCGGCGUCGUGCUGCUCGCCCCGCGACGAGGCCGAGGCCGAGGCGGAGGCGGAGGAGGAGAAGGGCGGCCCGGCGGCGGACUGCGGCGUCUGCGGGGACAGUCGAGCGGGAAGCACUACGGCGUCUUCACCUGCGAGGGAUGCAAGAGCUUCUUCAAGAGGUCCAUCCGCAGGAACCUCAGCUACACCUGCCGGUAGGAAGAAGGGCCUCUGCCCGGGCGGAUUGGACGUGUCCCCUGCCUGGAAAUACUGUAAUAUUACUAUGAGCUGGAAGGCAUCUCUUGUGAAGUUUUGUUUGUGUCCUCUCACCAGGAAUAGUAUUAUUAUUAUUUAUUAUUAGGACGGGAGGGCCAUCUGGUGCGAAGGGAUUUGAAUGUGUUUUUCUCUCCAGGAAUAGUAUUAUUAGUAUGAGGUUGAA
RNAcentral lists this long non-coding RNA (1293 nucleotides) under Anolis carolinensis (green anole). RNAcentral describes it as "lncRNA (ENSACAG00000034794.1)". Lineage: Eukaryota; Metazoa; Chordata; Lepidosauria; Squamata; Anolidae. The record is from RNAcentral.